Long non-coding RNA from Drosophila guanche, 607 nucleotides. RefSeq lists it as uncharacterized. The transcript is spliced from 2 exons. NCBI's taxonomy places the organism in Eukaryota, Metazoa, Arthropoda, Insecta, Diptera, Drosophilidae. The record is from RefSeq and is a predicted model, not a curated record.
UAAUUAGCGAUCAGCUGCUCGCAACAAGCAAAGAAGAUUGCGAAAAUGGGAAAAAUUGUUUUUGCCUUCCCAAAGAAGAGAGCGCGAAAAAACCCGUGUCCUCCUCGCCUCUCCUCCCCUCCUCUGUGUAUGGAGCGGCGCCCAGCGACUGGAUUCCGCGCCGGGAGACUCACCCUGAACGCGUAUGUCGGUCUGGCUCGGCAGUUUCACGCACGGAAAAUGAAUUAGACGCUGGAGGAAAAACAAGCGCGUCCGAUCGCUUUCACUCUUCCUUCUCUGUCGUGUGUGUGUGAGUGUGUGUGUAUGUGUGUGUGGGUGUUUUGAGUUUGAGUUUGAGAUUCGUUUGCUUGUUUUUCCCCGCUUGGCUCCACUUGGACACACGCAAAUCAGAUUCACAAAUCCAUAGAAAACUUUUUUGUAGUAAAAGAACAAAAAAAGUUGCCUACCUUUGGGUGCUUUUUUCAGCAUCCACAAAAUGGCUUAAGAAUAGGAUUUAAUGGCGGCAAGAAAGCAAUGUAAAAAGGGUUUGGGCACGAUUGCCUGAACAAUGAAAAUUUGGCCAACACAAAAAGUUGAUUUAAUUAAACACGAAACACCCUUAAGAGAA